Molecule: long non-coding RNA, 464 nt
Organism: Scophthalmus maximus (turbot)
Lineage: Eukaryota; Metazoa; Chordata; Actinopteri; Pleuronectiformes; Scophthalmidae
Exons: 2
Source: RefSeq, a predicted model, not a curated record
UAAGUGUAAACGGGAUGUCAGGAACAGGCCUGUCACGGAGCAGCUAAAAACACAGACAUAGCUUAACUACUGCGAUUUUCCACACCGCACUAGUUUGAGGCCGAGUCUGACAUCGACAGAGGAAGAACAGAAGCCAGUAGUCUCUAACCGAGACUCGGCGAGGACGUUUCAGAGUGCGAAGUAAAGUAAUAAGGUGCACUUGUGGAAACCGCCGACGUAAAAAAAAAUGUCGGCUGCGAAGAAAAAACGACAGGUGGUGAUCCCGUGUCUCCGGAAUGUCCGGGUUGUCCAGACAAAGUGGGAACAGAUCCUUCUCUCAGGACCAAACGUUGAGAAAAGCCAGCCGCGAACUGUGACCGGUUCAGGAAGCAGUCCUCUGUGAAAUGACGGGAACACACGGGGAGUUUGGGGUUGUAUUUUUGAGGUACAGUGUUGAAAAUAAAUUUUAACCACUGACUCUUCAA